This 124-nucleotide ribosomal RNA is filed under the name Escherichia coli. RNAcentral's name for it is "partial 16S ribosomal RNA". It matches the Rfam family "Bacterial small subunit ribosomal RNA", at positions 1410 to 1533 of the family's 1533-position model. The record is from RNAcentral. Lineage: Bacteria; Pseudomonadati; Pseudomonadota; Gammaproteobacteria; Enterobacterales; Enterobacteriaceae. RNAcentral also lists the same sequence under 93 other names.
GUGGGUUGCAAAAGAAGUAGGUAGCUUAACCUUCGGGAGGGCGCUUACCACUUUGUGAUUCAUGACUGGGGUGAAGUCGUAACAAGGUAACCGUAGGGGAACCUGCGGUUGGAUCACCUCCUUA